GUAUCCGUAGCUCAGUUGGAAGAGUGUCAGUUUCCGAAGCUGAAGGUCGCUGGUUCGAACCCAGUCGGGUACGCCA
This 76-nucleotide transfer RNA is filed under the name Simonsiella muelleri (Scheibenbakterien Muller 1911). Its description in RNAcentral is "tRNA-Arg(ccg)". It matches the Rfam family "tRNA". Rfam says of the family: Transfer RNA (tRNA) molecules are approximately 80 nucleotides in length. Their secondary structure includes four short double-helical elements and three loops (D, anti-codon, and T loops). RNAcentral also lists the same sequence under 4 other names. The record is from RNAcentral. Lineage: Bacteria; Pseudomonadati; Pseudomonadota; Betaproteobacteria; Neisseriales; Neisseriaceae.